ACAAGCAGCGGAGCGUGUGGUUUAAUUCGAUGCUACACGAAGAACCUUACUGGGUUUGACAUAGAGGUAGCAGGGAAGCGAAAGCGGACCGACCCUUCGGGGAGCCUCUACAGGUGUUGCAUGGCUGUCGUCAGCUCGUGUCGUGAGAUGUUCGGUUAAGUCCGCUAACGAGCGCAACCCUCGCUGUGUGUUGCAAGUGUCACACGGUACUGCCGAUAUUAAGUCGGAGGAAGGUGGGGAUGACGUCAAGUCAGCAUGACCUUUAUAUCCAGGGCUACACACACGCUACAAUGGCCAGUACAAUGGGCUGCCAAGCCGCGAGGCGGAGCCAAUCCUAAAAAGCUGGCCUCAGUUCAGAUUGCAGUCUGCAACUCGACUGCAUGAAGCCGGAGUUGCUAGUAACCGCAGGUCAGCAAUACUGCGGUGAAUACGUUCCCGGGUCUU
This 444-nucleotide ribosomal RNA is filed under the name uncultured Anaerolineaceae bacterium. Its description in RNAcentral is "bacterial SSU rRNA". It matches the Rfam family "Bacterial small subunit ribosomal RNA", at positions 925 to 1382 of the family's 1533-position model. The record is from RNAcentral. Lineage: Bacteria; Bacillati; Chloroflexota; Anaerolineae; Anaerolineales; Anaerolineaceae.